Aquila chrysaetos chrysaetos is the source of this 1731-nucleotide long non-coding RNA. RefSeq lists it as uncharacterized. The transcript is spliced from 3 exons. NCBI's taxonomy places the organism in Eukaryota, Metazoa, Chordata, Aves, Accipitriformes, Accipitridae. The record is from RefSeq and is a predicted model, not a curated record.
CUGCUGCUGCUGGGUGGCACUUACUAGAUACAAAAAAAGAGUAAGAACUACUAGCAAUUUGCAACCAAGGGUAAGACCGUGUGUUUUUCAAUGUGUCUGCAGGCAGGCGGUGGCAGGGAGGGUAAGAGGGACUCCUGGUGGCAGCGCUCGUUCCAGCUCAUCCACCUCGGCAAGCACAUAACCUGCACCAAUCCUCGUCUUGAAUCGGUGAUGAGGAGUAUUUUUCUCAAUAUUGCAGCAGUUAGGACUGCUGGGAACGCUUUCCAGUUCAAAGGAUGGAAGGAGAGGUAAGCAAAGGAGCAGAGCAAGGACAGUGCAGUCUUAACAGCCCUGUGUCAGCACAGGGUUUUUAGACUGAUGGCCGAUCUGAAGGCAUUUUGUUUAAGUAGCCUUUGCUAAAUUGAGAAAAAAUCCAAAAUAGCUUUUUUUUCUUUUUAAAUGAAAAGCAAAGCCUGCCUAGCUGGGAGUUUAGGACAAAGCCUGGGAGGAAGAAAAGGAGAAAUAAACCAUCACUGACUCCUUGAGACAGGGUAGGCACAGAAGCUGGUCUGCAAGUGGAGUACUUAUAGCUGGUGAGAAAUGAGAAGACACACCGCGGGACAGGUGAGAGACCUCAUCAAAUGCCUGCUUUGAACUGGGCAGAGAGAGGGUCUGAACCCGGCUCCCCAUAGCCCAGGAAAACAUAGUGGUCAUCAACACAUCCCCCCUUCUCCGAAGCUCCCUCACUCCCAGGUUUAUCGCCACACAAGUGUGCGUGUCUCGGGGUUAACCUCCCCUCGCAGGGCUCUAGACCGGCUCCACCUGCCCCGAGGUUAAGGGGGAAACAGGGUUUUCCCACUUCUGCUCAAAGCUGCUGUGCAUCAGUGCAACACAAUGCUUUGAAGGGCAGCUCCUCUUUCCUUCCAUACAGCAAGCUGCCGUGGCCUCCCAUCUGUACCAGGGUUUGGUUUUACUUUGAUAUUUUAUCCCUCUAAAGCUCUAUUAAUCUGUUUUAUUUCUGUCUAUCAUAGGAAUAAUCCUUUAUGUAAGCACAGCUUCUACAGUUGAAGUCCUCACUUUGCUUGAAGCAGAUUAGCUUUGCAAGACUAUCCCGCAUGAAGCACAGAACAAACCAAACAGCAAACAGCAGAGCCGUGGUGAUGUCAGAGGUCACAAAGCAUGAGUCAGACUCUCAAAAAAAGCCUGGUUUUUCUUGAAGAGAAAAACAAACUGAAGAAAACAACUCCCUCGCCACGAUGCAAUGUUUUGGAUUUGCCUCUUCAUUUCCUUGUCAGUCCCCUGUGGGUGUGGGAGACUCCCCAGCUCCCAGGCACCCCACGGGAGAUGGCUCAGCCCCCCCAGAGGGGACCCCUGUCCUCUGCCUCCAGCAGUACAGGCACCCUCAGCGGUCCCCACACCACCCCGGAUCACCGGCCUGCGCCCACAUCUACCCCCCCACGGGAGGAGCCAGGGCACCCCCACCACAGCUGGAGGAAGAAGGAGCCCCAGGGGUCCAGGAGCUUGCACCCACUUGCCAAACGAAGCACACAAGAAACGGAGGAAGCAGACGGCCAACUCCAGCGAGCCCAGCAGCAACGGCACAACAAGCUGUUGGGCUGUAUCUGCUCCAUCUUCCUCGUGGGAGGGUUUCGGGUCCUGCUGAGGACCUCCAGGUUUGCAUGCUGUCAAGCACAUUGCUUGCACUAAACAAAAGGACACUGAGCACUAACUGUUGCUGAUGGAAAGCUGCUG